This 3212-nucleotide long non-coding RNA is filed under the name Homo sapiens (human). RNAcentral's name for it is "HSALNT0198267". Lineage: Eukaryota; Metazoa; Chordata; Mammalia; Primates; Hominidae. The record is from RNAcentral.
CUCAAGAGAGAUCUGAUGGUUUUAUCAGGGGUUUCUGCUUUUGCAUCCUCAUUUUCUCUUGCCUCCACUGUGUAAAAAGUGCCUUUUUGCCUCCAGCCAUAAUUCUGAGGCCUCCCCAGCCAUGUGGAACUGUGAGUCCAAUUAAACCUCUUUUUCUUCCUAGUCUUGGGUAUGUCUUUAUCACCAGCGUGAAAAUGGACUAAUACAAAAAUAUUAUGUCCACCCAAAGGCUUGGUGAAUACACGAGUAAUCAUAAUAGACAAAAAGGUGAAAUCACUCAAAUGCCUAUGAACUGAUUAAUGGAUAAAGUUGUCAUACCUCCAUAUAACAGAAUGCUAUUCGGCAGUAAAAGGACAAGCAGGGACUUCCAGUUCUGAGACAAGAUGAAAUAGAGACUUCUUCCUUUUCUUAGUAAGUACAGCUAAAAUCCAUGGAAAGUGUGCAGAAAACAAACCUGAGGAGACUCUGAAAGGUAUCAAGAAGAAGCCAGAUCAGCUAGGGACCUUGCGACCUGAGGAAUAACAUGGUGGUGUGUUCCCUAGAUUUUUUUUUUCUUCAUAUAUGUGCUAGAGAAGCUGUCAACCUGGAAACACCAAUGAAUACAGACCAAAACAAACCCUAGAAAAGACCAGUUUUAUUAGUCAAGCCAGGAAAGGGACAACCUAGUAAGACAGAAAACUUGUAGACAAUAACUGCCCUACUCUAGCCAAAAACAAUAGACAAACUGUGCUCCAUCCCCCACUCUCACCAGCAAAGACUGAGUAUUGAGCUUAAGACCUCUCCUGCUUGCCCAGCUGUAACAAGACCCCCCUCCUGUGUCUCUUCCCCAGUAUUCCUGCUGGGAUAGUAUCAGAAAAGGUGAAGCCCUAGUCAGGAGCCUAGAUUUUCAUUCCCACUGGGCAGUAAUGAUGUGUCCCUUCCAUCCCCCCACCCCAAACAGUAACAAGUUCCCUCUCAUGGUGUCAAUGGAGGCUAUCUGGGAAGCACUAAGGAGGCACCUCUACCCUUCCCAGCCAAGAUAUGUGUGCAGAAGCCUAGCAGGGAGCUGGGACUUGGACUCCCACCUGAUGGCAACAAGGUGGUGCUCCCACAUCUCUCACUGCACGGAGUCAGACGAGGCCUGCAAAAACAAAUUUAAAUAAGAUCUAGAGUCUCAGCAUAAUACUAAAACAUUUCAGGAUACAAUUGAAAACCAUCCAUCCUACCAAGAACCAGGAAAACUAAAUGAGAAAAGAGAAUAGAUACUAAAACCAAAAAGACACAGAUGUUGGAAUUACUUGACAAGGACUUUAAUGCAGCUAUCUUUAAAGUGAUUCAAUUUGCUAUUGAAUUAUGAAAAAAUAGAAUUCUCAACAAAGAAAUAGAAGAUGUAAAGAACCAGAUGGAGAUUUUUAAACUGAAAAUACAAUAGCCAAAAUUUUAAAAAGUCAACUGAACAGCAGAAUGGAGAGGGCAGAGAAAAAAAGUGAAGUGAAUGAACUUGAAGAUAAAACAUUAGAAAUUACCCAAUCUGAACAAAAGAGAGAAAAUAUACUGAAAAAUAAAAAUGAACAAAUCAUCAGGGACUUGUGGGACUAUUUUUAAAAGUUCUAAUAUUUGUACCAUCAGAGUCCCAGGGGAGAAGAAAGACGAUAUGGUUGAAAAGGUAUUCAAAGAAAUGAUAGCUUAAAAUUUUCAAACUUGGCGAAGGACAUAUUCAAGAAGAACUUAAGAAGUUCAGCAAACUCUGAACAGGAAAAUCCCAAAGAAAUCCACUCCAACAUACAUUAUAACCAAAUUUCUGACCACUAAAUAUAAAAUCUUGAAAACAGUGAGGACACUUUACCUAUAGGGGAAAAACAGAAUAACAGCAGAUUUGUCAUCAGAAACCGUGGAAUUUAGAAGGAAGUAGUACAUAUUUAAAGUACUGAAUGAAAAGAACUGUCAACCCAGAAUUCUAUAUCCAGCAUAUAACUGGCCCAUCAAGGUUGAAAGUUGACAGUUGUACAUUCAGAUAGCACAUCCUCACAUUAUAAGAAUUCAAAGCAAAAACAGGAUAAAGGAAAUAAUAGAGCUUCUUUCUCACGUGCUUCUCACUUGUUAAGGAGGGCAAAAAAAUUUUUUCCCAGUGACAGUUUUUCCCUCCCUCAAGAUGUAUCCAUUUGCAAGAACUGGAUCCCAUAGCCAUAGUAGAUACAAGUAUACUGAUAAAGUGAGUAUCUGAUAUUUUCAGGCUCAAUAAGUGGGAGACAGGCAAGAAAAGGGGGCAAUGAAGUGAAGAAUAGGACAUAGCCAGCCCUCAUGUUCACAAAGAACCAUAAAUUAAUGUUGUCUCUAAAUGAGGUUAGUGUCAUUGACAAGAUUGAAAAAUGACAUUUCUUACAUAAAAAAAUGUAUAAACAUUUAGUGUGCCUAAUAAUUUUUGUUGUUGUUGGGUUUUUUUGUUGUUGUUUUGUUCUUUUGUUUUGUUUUAUUUUGUUUUGUUUUUGAGGCAGAGUGUCACUCUUUCACCCAGGCUGGAGUGCAGUGGUGUGAUCUUGCCUCACUGCAACCGCCUCCCAGGAGAAUUGCUUGAACCUGGAGGGUGGAGGUUGCAGUGAGCCAAGAUCACGCCACUUUACUCCAGCCUGGGUGACAGAACAAAACUCUGUCUCAAAAACAAAACAAAACAAAAAAGAAAAAUAUAUUUUGGGAUCCCCAUAAAAAGGAAUAGCCUCGUCUCACUGAGAGAGGUUCUGCAGAUUGCUGUUCCCAGCCAUGUCUUUGUCUCUGUAGUUAGAGGUGCCAUUAGCAAAUAUUAAGAGUGUGUUCCAUGCCGUACACUGUUUCAGAUGCUGGUGAAAAAGUCAUGUCCUCUACCUCCAGGAAAAAAACCUAGGAGGAACUAUGAACUGUAAACCAGUAAUUACAAGUGUCAGGGGUGUUAUGAAAGGGAAAGUAUAAAGUGUUGUAGGAAUAUAUACCGAGAUUUAUUUAACCCAUUCUGUGGUCAGGAAAGUCCUCUGUGAAGAAGUGAUUCUAGCCAUUGUUGGUUUGGUUUUUUUUUUUUUUUUUUUUUGAAACAGAGUCUAGUUCUGUUGUCCAGGCUGGAGUGCAGUGGUGCAGUCUUGGCUCACUGCAACCUCUGCCCCCUGGGUUCAAGUGAUUCUCCUGCCUCAGCCUCCCGAGUAUGUGGGACUAUAGGUGCAUGCCACCAUGCCUGGCUAAUUUUUGCAUUUUUUAGUGCAGACGGG